UGCUGCACUCCUCCUUAACUCACACACACACAAAAAUCAUUACUUCCUCCCUCGCCCUGUAAGUGUAUACUCGUCAGACGUCAUGACACGUCAUCAGAAGUGUCCACUUCAUUUGAGGGCUGAGGGGAUAGGGUGUGUCUUUUAAGUGUUUGGACUUCAGCCACACAGAACUGCCCGAUCGUUUUUUCCAUCAUGGCUCCAUCCGCAGACAGGCUGGGAUACUGGGGGCGGCCAACCUCAACGCUAGAUUGGUGUGAGGAUAAUUAUGUCGUCUCUUUCUACAUCGCAGAAUUCUGGAACACUGUCAGCAACCUCAUUAUGAUCCUGCCUCCCAUCUACGGUGCCAUCCAGACGUAUAAAGACGGCCUAGAGUUCCGCUACGUCUACUCCUUUCUGGGACUGGCAGCUGUUGGCAUUGGUUCCUGGUGCUUCCAUAUGACGUUGCAAUAUGAGAUGCAGUUGCUGGAUGAGCUGCCAAUGAUCUACAGCACCUGUGUCUUUGUCUACUGUCUAUAUGAAUGCUUCAAGCAAGAAAACACUCUGAGUUUAUUUCCUAUCACAUUGUUAUUGUUCUUCAGUGUCUCAGUCAGUGUGGUGUAUUUACAAUGGAAAGAGCCAGUAUUUCACCAGGUCAUGUAUGGUGCGCUUGUAGCCUGCUUGGUGACGCGUUCUGUCUUUAUAGUUACAUGGGUCUACCCCUGGCUCAAACCUAUGUGUUACAUCUCCCUGAGUGUCUUCCUGCUGGGGUUCCUGUUGUGGAACAUUGAUAAUCUGGCAUGUGACUCACUCAGAUCCACCAGACAGAGACUGCCCCCUGUUGUUGGGGCGGUGACACAGUUCCAUGCCUGGUGGCACAUCCUCACAGGUCUGGGCUCCUACCUACACAUACUCUUCAGCCUCCAGAUACGGUCAAUCUACCUCAAGCACAGACCAAAAGUAAAGGUCGAUCCCCAGACAAAGAACCAGGGCGACCCCUGAGAGGACCAUCAGAUGCUGACCUGGAGUUUGCGGAGAGGUGAUCUUGUGAUUGACUGGGCUGUACUGGAGCGGGUCGAGAGUUUCAAGCUCCUUUGUGUCCACAUCCCUAAACAAACGAUCAUGGUCCAAACACACCAAGACAGGAGUGAAGAGUGCAUGACAACACCUUUUCCCCGCCAGGAGACUGAAAAGAUUUGGCAUGGGUCCCCAGCUGCACCAUUGAGAGCAUCCUGAUCGGUUGCAUCAGCGCCAGGAAUGGAAACUGCUUGACAUCCGACCAAUGGGGAGUUUCAGAGCUACGAGUGAGAAGCGCUACAGGUGAGAACAGCAACCCUGAGCUACAGGUGAGAGUUCUGAUUCUGAAUGAUCCAUCUACUUCUUCAAGGGGAAUGUUAAGUAGAAAUAUGACCCCAAACAUGUCACUGCCACAGGGCCUGCCAAUGGGUUGUAGGAGUGUACAGGACAAUUUAACAACAACACACUGAAGAGGGGAGAUAGCAAAGUCAUCUUCUGCUCAAAAUCUCACGCUCUCCCUUAACCCCAGAGACGGUUGUCCAAAUUAGGGAAGACUCAAUAGAGGAACCGAGUCAGAUGCAUGAAAGAGAUGUGACAUUUUGAUCUGGAAACAACCACAACAAGUUGGUUUACAUCAUUACAUAGACUCUGCAAUGCCUUAUUACAGAAUCCCACAACUUUUAGCGAUGAAACAUUCUGUAAGCAGGAUAGCUAUUGAAAUGCUUGGUUGAAUUGACAGUAUGCUGUCCGCUCAGGGAAGUGAAGAAAGGUGUUGCAUGGUUAUUUGAUGUGACACAACCUGAUAAUGAUGAAAUUAUAUAAUAAAUCAAGUGUAAUGCUAUAAAAAGUCUAAUCAGGGUUAAACCAGAUUACAAAAAGUCUAAUAAAAAGUCUAAAAGCCCAGGAACUACUGUCUAGCAUUGUUACACUUACUGCCUAAUGAUUACUGUGCAUUUCCUCUGAUAUAAAACAUUUAUAAACUAUACAAUUAUUAUAUAUUGAGUGUGAAAUGGUCUGUCAAUAUAUGAAACAAUAAUUCCAAUCUUGCGGGAAGCCUUCAUCUAAUGGAAGUAGCCUCCGGAAGUGUUUUGCUCUCAUGAAGUUCACACAAAGCUACGGGAUUGCUUGCUUGUGUCUGUGUCAUUCAUAGCACUAGAACCCCCCCCAUCGAUAUUGAUUUAAAAAAUACAUAAAUGUAUAUCUGUUCUAUAAACAGUGGCACUUGUCUCACCAGGAGCAUUUGUUUUUGUUUUGUUUUUUUGGAAAUGAGCAGCCAGUGUCAUGGUUAAAAAAAGUCUUAGUACAUACUGCUGUUCUAUCACACAUGCAAUGAUGUCUGUGUGAAAAAAAGCAUUGUUUGAAGUAACAUAUUGUAACAACAAUGUUAUUGUAAUAUUGCAAACGGAUGUGUCAGUUUCACCACUAUGGAUUACAGUUGAAGGUUGACUAAUGCUAUUGACUAUCGCAAUUACCUGAGACCAUUGAGUCAUACAGUACAGUAUGUGGGAAGGAUAGUUCCUCUUGUUGCCCCAUGUUGGAAGAUUGCAGAGGCUGACUGAAACAUAAGGAGUAUAUCUUCACAGCUGGAUUGUGUACCAGGUAACAAUGAAUGAAAUCCAACAGUGUUAAAAUUACCUGGGGUGUUGACAGCCUAAGUGUCAAUGUAACUGCAUUAUUUCAUAGUUAUGCUCCUGUAAGUCAGUUGAACUGCUCUAGACUAUUUGAAUCCUUAUUUAAAUGAUUCACUGCAUGUUUCUUUGCUGUAGGUAGUUGGCAGCAUAACCCAUAGUGACAAGGCUGAUGAGUAAAGGUUGGCAUGCUACUAAUUGAGAGUAGGCUACUAUGAAUCUGUGGGGUUGCCCUGGCGAUGCCAACUUAGCGUGACUCUGUCUGUCUGACUGUCCUCAGCACUGCUCAUUUAAAACCAUUACCUUCACUUUAUAAAUUCCAUGGUCAUAAUCAGUUGUUCAGUUCAUUAUCGAUGUGUCUAUGUAAAUUAAAAUAAUGUAUCUAUUACACACAUAUUACACUAGAGGCCCAGAGGCUGGAGAAGAGGACCAGUCGCCGGAAGGUUUGAAUCCCAGGCCGGGCAUUAAAAAUGAACUGACAACCAGAAUGCACCUGGUAUUAGAUCUCCUCCUUAACCUCUUUAACCCAACCAUAGUGCCAGAGGCGCUGCACUGCAGCUGACCCUGUGCUACUCCCAAAGUAUGGUAUUUUUCCACUUCUGAUGGACUAUAGUGCUACAGGUGGACAUUUCUUGAUUGAUGGGCAUCAUGGGUCGUUGCACUACAGUAGUUUGGGGCCGGUGUCUGUGAAAUGGGACAGCAGCCAACUAGCCAACUCCAUGGGCUGCAUCGGUUUCCUCUCUCUUUCUUUUUAAUAACCAAAUAUUACAUUGACUUUUGUUUUGAUAAAUAAAUUUCAUAUCACUCUUUUACACUUGACUUAAUAUGAUGGAAAUAAUCAUUCCCUCCUAUACAUGCAAUAACAAGUUUUUCUGAGAGAGUGGUACAUUCUACGAUACUAAGUACACAAAGUGUUUUUCGCAAUAACUUAGUAAUUUAGAAUGUGAAAUACACAAUAGAUUGAUGUCAGCAAGUAAGACAAAUAUAAAUCAAUAUACCAAUUAUUUAGAGGAUAUGACUAUUGAUAACACAUUUAUUUUAAGCUUGUUGAGCUUUAUUUCUGUGUCUGAAUACAGUUUUGUGGGUAUUUUUGUCUUCCAAUUUAUAGUACAUUACAGUACAUUGUGAAAAGUAAUUACGAUUAAGGCAGUGUUUUUGUCUGUAAUAAUGUAUUUGGUGUCUGUCAUCACCUUGAUUUCCUUCC
Oncorhynchus masou masou (cherry salmon) is the source of this 3825-nucleotide RNA transcript. It is a transcript of the gene named alkaline ceramidase 3, with no coding region annotated. NCBI's taxonomy places the organism in Eukaryota, Metazoa, Chordata, Actinopteri, Salmoniformes, Salmonidae. The record is from RefSeq and is a predicted model, not a curated record. The transcript has 13 exons.